CGAGAGUUUCAUCCCCCUCGGCCUUAGGCAUUCUUCGAGUCAAUCCCCAUCUUUGCACCUCUACACCUCUCGGACCAGCCUAGGUUAGUUCCAGAACUCUCCUCUUCUUCUUUUUUUUUUCUCUUCCCUGCUGUUCCUCUUCCAUUUUGCUCCUUUAUAUUCUGCCUGUUCAGUUUUUUUACGAGCGCCCCAUCUCUUAUUUUUCUCAAUUUUUUCAGAUUUUUAGGGUUUUCACUUGAUUCAAAAUGUCCUCCAACACUUCCUUCUCUAGCAGUUCUAGGAGUUCGUCUGUUCUAGUCCCAUAAAAUCCUAGCUCGAUAGAAGAACCUCAUUU
RNAcentral lists this long non-coding RNA (334 nucleotides) under Elaeis guineensis (African oil palm). RNAcentral's name for it is "long non-coding RNA (EGUI_LNC059778)". Lineage: Eukaryota; Viridiplantae; Streptophyta; Magnoliopsida; Arecales; Arecaceae. The record is from RNAcentral.